Anguilla rostrata (American eel) is the source of this 1948-nucleotide long non-coding RNA. RefSeq lists it as uncharacterized. The record is from RefSeq and is a predicted model, not a curated record. The transcript has 2 exons. Lineage: Eukaryota; Metazoa; Chordata; Actinopteri; Anguilliformes; Anguillidae.
GCUGGAGAGAGAGAGAGACAGAACGGGGGGGAGAGAGAGAGAUGGGGAAGGAAAGCAGAGAGAUGGGUAUCAUAAUAUGCUACCCAUGUUGACCUUUGACCCUCACUGCAGGUGUAUGUCUGUCGGUUGGCCCACUACAUACUCGGCUCUAUAUUUGUAUUGGUGAAGGUUCUGUGUCCCAACUGCUGAUCGUGAAACUCAAGUUCAAAAGUUGAGAGAACAGAAGGAAUGCAGGAGUUGAGCGCCAAGUUUAUCUGAACAGUUUAUCUGUGCAGCACCGACACUCUGUUAAAAUACCCCUCAUUCAGCUUUCACCACAUAACACGAGCAGAAUUGUGCCAUGGCCUUGACCUUGAAUGUGCUGAUACAGUAGCCAACCCAUCAUAAGACCUCUGUGGCACUGCGGAUAACAGAAGCCAUGGCUUAGAAUCACAGUGCUUCAGGCUCUGGACCUGAAUAUAAUAGACAUAAAUAUGCCCCCAGUAUCAGUACAUGAGUCAGCAUAUGGCCGUGCACUGUGUGUCUGAAUGUGUGUAAGCAUGUGUGAGUGUGUGUCUCUGUGUGUGUCUCUGGUUGUGUGUCUGAAUGUGUGUAAGCAUGUGUGACUGCUUGUAAGUGUGUGUCUCUGGAUGUGUGUGUUUGAAUGUGAGUAAGCAUGUGUGACUGCUUGUAAGUGUGUGUCUCUGGAUGUGUGUGUUUGAAUGUGAGUAAGCAUGUGUGAGUGCUUGUAAGUGUGUGUCUCUGGAUGUGUGUUUGAAUGUGAGUAAGCAUGUGUGAGUGUGUGUCUCUAGUUGUGUGUUUGAAUGUGAGUAAGCAUGUGUGAGUGUGUGUAAGUGUGUGUCUCUGGAUGUGUGUUUGAAUGCGAGUAAGCAUGUGUGAGUGCUUGUAAGUGUGUGUCUCUGGAUGUGUGUGUUUGAAUGUGAGUAAGCAUGUGUGAGUGCUUGUAAGUGUGUGUCUCUGGUUGUGUGUUUGAAUGUGAGUAAGCAUGUGUGAGUGUGUGUAAGUGUGUGUCUCUGGAUGUGUGUUUGAAUGUGAGUAAGCAUGUGUGAGUGUGUGUGAGUGUGUGUCUCUGGACAGGGUCAAACCUUGAGCCCCAGGAUUUUGUCCAGGGCUUUGAAGCAGCCGUUGGGGCCGAACUCCGCGUCUUUUCCCCUCUCCUGCGAGGACCACCUCAGCAUCAGCUGCAGCCAGCGUUCCAGCUUCUCCGCCAAGAACCUGGAGCACAGCCAAUCAGCACCCUCAAACAUCUGUGACAUCACAGCCAAUCAGCACCCUCAAACAUCUGUGACAUCACAGCCAAUCAGCACUCAACUACACUUAAAAAUCUCUGUGAUAUCACAGCCAAUUAGCACUUAACCUAUCCUCAAACAUCUCUGUGACAUCACAGCCAAUCAGCACUCAACCUUCUCUUAAAAAUCUCUGUGACAUCACAGCCAAUUAGCACUUAACCUUCCUUCAGUAGCAUACUUCCCCUGAAUUAUUUCAGCAGAUAUCCAGCUGCAUAAUGGAGUGUAAGUACAAUGUCAGCUGUGUCUGCUACGUUUGCAUUUGUUCUUCCUUCUUCUCUCACUGCCACUUAUAUCCUGAACAACCCACAAUCCCACUGAACGUGUCUGAGCACUGGAGAGGGUUUUUGGGGUCCGGUUCUGGGGCUCCUGCUCUCUCACUUGUUGAGGUUGUUGGGUUGAGGCAGGUGUUUGGAGAACUGGACCUCCCCCGAAAGGUCUUCAGACACAACGAUGUCAUCCUCCGCCUUCUGCUUCAAUUUAGCAUGCCUGAAGGAUAGAUACACAGAAAGAGCAGAUUUACUACUAUAAAUGCAUACAGUGCACUGCUGUGAAUUAAAUACGUAUUAUUCAUGAUCGUGUAAAUCAUAUAGUUUUCUUACUAAUUUAAGUGCGACUAUGAUGUAACUAUAAUAAAUGGUACUUCUUAUCUUAAGAGUCAA